GCCCCUGUAGUCCAAUUGGCAGAGACACCCGGCUUAAACCCGGCACAGUGAGGGUUCGAUCCCCUCUGGGGGCA
Molecule: transfer RNA, 74 nt
Filed under: bacterium
Lineage: Bacteria
Description: tRNA-Leu
Rfam family: tRNA
About the family: Transfer RNA (tRNA) molecules are approximately 80 nucleotides in length.
Source: RNAcentral